Molecule: ribosomal RNA, 233 nt
Filed under: uncultured bacterium
Lineage: Bacteria
Description: partial 16S ribosomal RNA
Rfam family: Bacterial small subunit ribosomal RNA
Source: RNAcentral
UGAGCAACCUGCCCUUGACUCCGGAAUAACAGUUGGAAACAGCUGCUAAUACCGGAUACGACCUCCGACGGCAUCAUCUGGAGGUGGAAAGCUCCGACGGUCAAGGAUGGGCUCGCGGCCUAUCAGCUUGUUGGUGAGGUAACGGCUCACCAAGGCUUCGACGGGUANCCUGAGAGGGCGACCGGCCACACUGGGACUGAGAUACGGCCCAGACCUCCUACGGGAGCAGCAGG